Molecule: ribosomal RNA, 253 nt
Filed under: uncultured bacterium
Lineage: Bacteria
Description: partial 16S ribosomal RNA
Rfam family: Bacterial small subunit ribosomal RNA
Source: RNAcentral
GACGUAGGAUGCAAGCGUUGUCCGGAUUUAUUGGGCGUAAAGAGUUCGUAGGUGGUUUGGUAAGUCUGAUGUUAAAGACUGGGGCUCAACCCUGGGACUGCAUUGGAUACUGCCAGACUGGAGUGCAGUAGAGGCAAGCGGAAUUCCAGGUGUAGCGGUGAAAUGCGUAGAUAUCUGGAAGAACACCGGUGGCGUAAGCGGCUUGCUGGGCUGUAACUGACACUGAGGAACGAAAGCCAGGGGAGCGAAUGGG